CAAAAGACCAAUAAUUUUUGAUUACCCGCCCAUUAUUCCCUCUUCUUCCCAUUUCUGUCGCGUGCCCUAAAUCCCCCAAGUAAUCUUUUUUCCUUUUACUCUGAAAAUUUGCCCCCAAAUUUCCCAUUUCCAACAACACCAAAUGUCUAAGGACGACGAGAGGCAGCAAUCUCCGCCGUCGAAUCUUCUUCCCUAAUAGAAAAACUAUAAACUCUUUUUUGCGUGUGUAUGAACUAAAUUUUUUUGUCAAUAAAUGAAAUUCUUUGAAGAUAAUACAAUCUUUUAUAAAAAUUUAUUUCCGAAUUAGGGCUCUUGAUUUCUUUCUCUGUCAGCAAAUUGGUCGAAUUUUAUUUUUGUUUUUAUUUGAAGUUGAAGGAAAAGCAUAGCAUUUGGCGUACAAGUGAUAGCUCACAAUUUUCUUAUGUAUUUUGUUCCCUACUUUUUUAAGCCAACCAUUUUGCUUCAGAAUCUCUUUGCGUUGGGAACCUUUUCAAAGUUCUUACGCUUUUUUGGCCUCUGAUAUUUGCCCAGCCAAGUCAGUAUAUCAAUACCCUUCUGGUGCCCAAAGGUGGUGAAAUUCCCAUAGACAUCCAAAGUUUAUCUUCACAAGGAAUCUUUGACGUGGUCAUUUUUAACUCCAUACAUGACCCAAAAGUGGGCACAAUUUUUGAUCCAGUCUCAUUGAUAAAUGCUCUUGGCAAUGUGUUUGGGGUGGAAUUGAGCAAAGGCUUCAGAACUGUGAUUUCGAGUUGAGUUAUGCAUUGGCUUUCUCAAACGUUCUCGCCAGCAAAAGGAAAUUACAAGGGAACAAGCAGUUCAAGAUCUGAAGUUUGUUGAGAAGGAUUAUAAGUUAGCUGAUACGGUUAUUAGAGGGUUGUUGAAGUAUUGGCCUUUGACUAAUUGUCAGAAGGAAGUUCUCUUCCUCGGGGAACUUGAGGAAGUACUUGAAGCAAUACAGUCUGUGGAGUUCCAACGAUGUAUGGUUCCGCUUUUCAGACAGAUUGCACGUUGCCUCAAUAGCUUACAUUUCCAGCGUAUAACUAUUCCUGAAAUUCUACAAGAUGAAUGGUUCAAGAAAGGGUACAAGCCACCAAAAUUUGAGCAAGAUGAGGAUGUAAAUCUUGAUGAUAAUAUCUUAUAUUUUACAUGUGAUUCAGGUGUGUUCCAGGGGCGGAUGUAAAGCCUUCGAGCUUGGCAUUCAGUGCCAAGGUGUGUUUCAGAGGGAUGUUAGCCUAUAGGCUUGGCACUUGUUGCCCAAGUGUGUUCUCGGAUGGUUAGCUCAUUUGAGCAUUUUGAUACGUUCUUGUAGAAACGGGCGAUCGGAUUGACUCAAAGAAUCACACUAUCCGGAAAUCUUUUGGUAGUUUUUAAAUGUUUAACUUGGGUUAUAUUUAAUGUAGUAGGUGAAUUGAUUUUAUGUUGGUUAUUUGUGAAGUUGUUAAACUUAAAUGGUGUUUGCCUUCAGUUAGUUCUUUUAGGAUACAUGUAAAUAUGUGUUGGUGUGGUAUAUAUGUAUGACUGGAACUCAAUUUGGUAUAUGUAGUAUAAGCUUUAUAAAA
Long non-coding RNA from Gossypium arboreum, 1559 nucleotides. RefSeq lists it as uncharacterized. The transcript has 8 exons. Lineage: Eukaryota; Viridiplantae; Streptophyta; Magnoliopsida; Malvales; Malvaceae. The record is from RefSeq and is a predicted model, not a curated record.